GAUAUCAUCGGGUUCUUUGAGGGUAUGUUAAUUUUCUGGUCCCUUAAUAACCUGGCUCUGAUACCA
This 66-nucleotide microRNA precursor is filed under the name Carica papaya (papaya). RNAcentral describes it as "miR8155 stem-loop (cpa-MIR8155)". Lineage: Eukaryota; Viridiplantae; Streptophyta; Magnoliopsida; Brassicales; Caricaceae. The record is from miRBase by way of RNAcentral.